AUUGAACGCUGGCGGCAUGCCUUACACAUGCGAGUCGAACGGCAGCACGGGUGCUUGCACCUGGUGGCGAGUGGCGAACGGGUGAGUAAUACAUCGGAACAUGUCCUGUAGUGGGGGAUAGCCCGGCGAAAGCCGGAUUAAUACCGCAUACGAUCUACGGAUGAAAGCGGGGGACCUUCGGGCCUCGCGCUUUCGGGUUGGCCGAUGGCUGAUUAGCUAGUUGGUGGGGUAAAGGCCUACCAAGGCGACGAUCAGUAGCUGGUCUGAGAGGACGACCAGCCACACUGGGACUGAGACACGGCCCAGACUCCUACGGGAGGCAGCAGUGGGGAAUUUUGGACAAUGGGCGAAAGCCUGAUCCAGCAAUGCCGCGUGUGUGAAGAAGGCCUUCGGGUUGUAAAGCACUUUUGUCCGGAAAGAAAUCCUUGGCCCUAAUACGGUCGGGGGAUGACGGUACCGGAAGAAUAAGCACCGGCUAACUACGUG
This 486-nucleotide ribosomal RNA is filed under the name uncultured bacterium. RNAcentral describes it as "partial 16S ribosomal RNA". It matches the Rfam family "Bacterial small subunit ribosomal RNA", at positions 30 to 507 of the family's 1533-position model. The record is from RNAcentral.